Paramormyrops kingsleyae is the source of this 927-nucleotide non-coding RNA. The record is from RefSeq and is a predicted model, not a curated record. Lineage: Eukaryota; Metazoa; Chordata; Actinopteri; Osteoglossiformes; Mormyridae.
GAUGUCUACAAGAUACAUGACCGACCCACUGAACAGCACACUAAUGGAAUUUCAAAUUAGUGGGGAAGAGCAAGAUGAACAGUCUUCAACAGCCACCCCUGCUCCUGUGCCCUAGUUCUACAUACCUUGGCGCCCCGAAAUGCCUGACAGGCUAUCUGACCUCAGACCUGCAUCUUAAAGCAAGUUACAGUGGGAGCACAUUUAGGGGACAUGGGCCCAAAGGCCUUAGCUGGUUUUUUUUUGUUUGUUUUAAACUUUUGACACCAGGUGUCGUUCACACGUGGACAGAUCUGCAUGAAUAUGUGACACUGUAGCUGUUAUCUGGGAAUUGGAACUCUCUCUUAUUACGUUUCGGAAUUCAGAACAGUGGGAUACAGGAACUGUCGCCAUUUAUUCAUGUUCCCGGUUCGCUUCCAAACAAAGAGCUUACCUCACACUUUUUUUUUUUUUUUAGAUUCUCUUGGAAACCCUGGGCAUCUCACCACAACAGAGGUCAGCCGAUGGCAUAUGCUACAUGAUUCUCAAAAGAACGGCCCUCAUGCUAUGGGCAGCACUUUCGCCUCUCCCUCCGCGCGAAGCACACGCCAGUCCCGAAGCACAAUGUUCUCCUGACGCCUCUCCGUGCGAGGCGGCCGCUGGAGAGCCGUGUGUCGAGCUGGAAUCCGAAAGGCUUGCAUACUUUCAGCGUCUUCCGAGAGAGGACUUUGAAGUCUGACCGGACCACCUACAAGAAAAUUCCAGAACCCUCCCAGUGUGGUUUCUUUCGGCUUGAACUAUACAAUGGAUUGUUGUUUUUAGAAAAGCAAUGCAAAAAAAUUCUCCAGAUAUCAACACACACACACAUUUAAGAACUAAAAUUGUUUCCUUUGUGAUUUCAUAAAAAUGAAUUGUUUGUCAUUUAAAAAACAUGUUCUUAGAAAAUGUUCA